UGGUGGAUUUUGGUUGAAGGCAGUGUUUAGCCUCAUUUUCAUGGCGGCGAGGUACGGCGUUGGAGGGAGAGCUAAAGAGACAUUGUUGAUGGCCCAUUUCAUGAACCCGUUUAUUCGAUUUUGGGUGUUGAGGAGGAAGAGUCGGCGGUUGUAUCUCACCGGUGGCUUUGGACUGCCCAUGGCAGCGAAGAUUCUGAAUGUGAAGUUUUUGCUCCGAUCAAAAUCCUCCCAGUGGGGGGUUUCCGGAGGUGGAGAAAUGGGUAAUUUGGAGGCGGAGUUGGGGAGGUAAUUGAGGAGGGUUAGUCCUGGAGGGGUUUUGGGUAGCCGUGCGCGGACGCCGAUGGAUACCCAGUAAUUUUCCAAUGGGUUUUGGUCGGUGGUAAUGAGGACGGAGUAUGACUCGCCGGAAUAAAUGUCGAUGUCGGAAGUGACAAAUGGUUGAACGUAGUUGCCGUCGGCUUCUACCACUAACAGUUCGUGAUUCUGCAGAAGAAGAGGAGAAAAUAAUUAUUAAAAUUAGUUUUAAAUUCAUGGAUAAACAUUAAUGUUGAAAGUUGAAGAUAUUAUUUAGUGAAAAAUUAAAGUUUAAAAAUCUAAAAUUAAAUGGAAAUGAACAAUUUGAAACUUAUAAACUAAAAAGGAGAUUAGAAUUUUUUGUUCAUAAUUAUUCAAGUUUACUUUUGAUUAUUUUUAUUUUGAUUUUCAAUUACUAGUUUGAAGCAUGAAUAUGAAUUAUUAACAUUCUAACAUGCAAUUAUUCUAAAAAGGACAAAACAAAAAUGAAAUUUUGAUCCAUUUCUUUCACCACUGAAAAAGGCUAAGAUUUUGUUUUGUGUAAUUAUUAUGUGCAUAAUUAGAGAGAGAUGGACCUCAUUUUGUUAUACCUUUGACAAGGAAUUAAAUAAAUCUUCAUACUUAACAUACUAUAGAUUUCAUUUAAGUGUAGAAAGAUUUGUAUUUAGUACUCUACUUUUUUAUUAUUUUUCUCCCUUUCCUUUUUUGUUUAUUAUUAUUAUUAUUAUUACUUUCUUUAUAAUUUUCUUUUAAAAAACUAUUCUAUAUCACCCAACUUUUAUAAAUAUUUACUAAUAUAACAAAUUGAUAUCGAUCUAUCAUCUAACUUAGUCUAUCAUAGUCCAUUUUCCAUAAUAGAUAAAAUAUGAAUUUUGCUAUAUUUUGUAAAUAUUUUGAUUUAUUUUAUUAUCAUCUAAAUUGAAUUUUAAAAUAAUAUUUUAUUAUUUUUUUAAUAGUUUUUGUACCCUAAAUUUAAUAAUAUAUUAUAAAAUCUUGUUUAGAAUUUUGUUUCCUAAAGUAUAAAUGUAGAUCCCCACCACAGUACAUCUAGAUCUCAAACAUUUAUGUGGUAACCUUCAACUUUAACAAUUAUUCCAUAAAACAUCUUCCCCAUUAUUAAAAUAAAUGAUAAAAAAAAUGAGGCAAUAGUUUAGAUAUAAAAUCAAAAGAUGGGAUAAGAUCACAUAUUAUUUUAAUCAAAUUAUACAAAUUUAAUCAUAGUAGUUGGGAUAAUUUUAGGAGUUAGUUCCAUAGUUUAUAAAUUACAUAUAUUAUUCACAACUAUUAGCAUUUAUUUCAUCUAGAAAGAAGCAUUAAAACUAUUUAUAAUGUAAAAUCACCUUGGUACCUCAAGGGUCACAUCAAUAAAUAAGAAUAAGAUAUAGUAAAUAAUAUCACUUAUGCUUUACAAUUUCUUACAUAUUUGUUACUUCUCAAGUGGGUUUAUAUAUGUGUGUGUAUAUAUAUAUAUAACUAAAUAAAAGUAUGAUUAAAAUUCUAUAUUAAUAAAAGUACAUAUAUAGAUAUUUUAAGUUUAAGAGUAACAAUCAACUCUCAAGUAAUAUUUUUAAAACAAAGUGAAGCAUUUAAGUGUUAUAUAUAUAAUUGGAUUAGAAAAAGAAAAGAUAAAAAGUAAUAUGAAUAGGACAAGAAAGAUGGGAGCAAAACAUGUGGGAUACCUAAGAGAAGAGUUGGUCAAUGGGAAUCACAUCAUAUUAUCAAUACCAAUAUGUCCAAAAUGUCAGAAAUGUUAGAUUAGGUUAUCUAUUGUUUGUACUCUCCCAAACACUGCUACAUGUGUUUAAAAGUAAAUUUAAAUAUUAUCUCUUAAAUUGCUAUUUUUAAAUACAAUGAAAUAUUAUUAUAUUAUAAAAUUUUGUUAUAUUUAUAAAUAUUUAUGUAAAAAUUUAUAUAUUAAAGGUGGACGUGGAUUAAAAUAGAAGAGAUUUAAUGUAAAGUUUAAAUAUCAAAACGAAUAUUUUAAAGUAUAAUGUGAUAUAUUAUACUCCAGAAUUCAAACCCUAAUAUUCUUAUAGUCAAUUUUGAAAGGAGGGUAAAGUUGAUAAAAUGGCUUUUGAUUGUUUGGUAGCUAUUAUUCUCACUAGUGAAAGAGAAGUUUGUGUGUUUUGGUUAGUUUCCUCUCUCUCUCACACACACACAUAUAAUAUAUAUUUGCUUUCACUAACUACUCCCACUUUUAGGACUUUAUGAGUCAAAACCUUUGAAAUUAUUGGAAGUAAUUUUCAAACAAAAAGCAACUUUCAUACUUCUAACACCUUUUUAACAUAUGGUUUGAUAAAGCUUAAUUAUUUCUUUUGUACAAUUUGUCAUUGGAUGGAGUUACUUUAUCAUGUUUCUUUUAGAUUCAUUCGUCGUGAUUGAAAUUGAACUACUUAUUAAUUUACUCGUUGAGGCUAUUUGAGUGAUUUUUGGAUGUUUAAUUGUUUAAAUUUGAUGAUUUUCGACUGUAAUAUCGAUUUAGAAAGUUUAUUUGGUCAUUACUAAAGGUUAAAUAUCUUUGAAAACUGCUACAAUUAUUUAAAAUUGAAAGAUUAAAUCAUAGAAAAUACCUCAAAAUUGUCAUUUGUUUAAAAAAAAUUAUACCUUCAAAAGUUUAAUACAUACUAAACGUGGAUGGAAUGAAGGUGCAUCGAACUAUACACCAAAACACACAUCCAAUGCCAAAAGUGAAAAUAUUUCAAAAUUACUACGAAAUAUUUACGAAGGGUUAGAGGUAACACUUGAAGGUUUCAAUAUUACUUCUAACUUUCAUAAAUAUUUUAAAAUUUCCUUCGUGACAUGUUAAUGAUGUGACAGUGACCCGUUUUAUUACAUGAUUUCAAGUUUAAUUUUAUGUAUAAGUUAAUACAAUCACAAUAGUUUUGAAAAGACUAGAUACCUAACUUCAAUAUAAGAUAAUUUUGAGACAUUCAUGCUAACAAUUUUGUUACUAAUUUUUUAAUGUAUUUAGUCUUUAUGUUUUAAUCCUUUACCGUUCGAUAAAAAUUUCAUUAAAUAUAUUCAAUCUAAUUUAAAGAUUUUAUCGAAUCAUAAAAACUAAAUUCUACUUUUUUUACGUGAUACGACUAAAUUUGUGACUUAAACCAAAAUGAAAGAUAAAAAGAAGCAAGACUUACUCCAAUGGCAAAGUUGAGGGAAGCCAAGGCAGUGGUACUAGCAAUUCUUAUCCGAUAAGUUUUCUUGGGUUGAACAUGUAGGAUAAAUGGUGCACAUUUUUCUUUUCCACUCAACUCACAUUGCUUCAAACCUUGGUUGUAUUUGGCUGCUAUUGAACAGUCAAAUUGCCCUUUCCC
This 3608-nucleotide long non-coding RNA is filed under the name Cucumis sativus (cucumber). RNAcentral describes it as "long non-coding RNA (CSAT_LNC000415)". Lineage: Eukaryota; Viridiplantae; Streptophyta; Magnoliopsida; Cucurbitales; Cucurbitaceae. The record is from RNAcentral.